RNAcentral lists this ribosomal RNA (462 nucleotides) under uncultured bacterium. Its description in RNAcentral is "bacterial SSU rRNA". It matches the Rfam family "Bacterial small subunit ribosomal RNA", at positions 331 to 792 of the family's 1533-position model. The record is from RNAcentral.
CCAGACUCCUACGGGAGGCAGCAGUGGGGAAUAUUGCACAAUGGGGGAAACCCUGAUGCAGCGACGCCGCGUGAGUGAAGAAGUAUUUCGGUAUGUAAAGCUCUAUCAGCAGGGAAGAAAUAGCGACCUUUGGGUCGCCAGACGGUACCCGAUUAAGAAGCCCCGGCUAACUACGUGCCAGCAGCCGCGGGCAUACGUAGGUGGCAAGCGUUGUCCGGAUUUACUGGGUGUAAAGGGCGUGCAGCCGGGAGGACAAGUCAGAUGUGAAAUCCCGCGGCUCAACCGCGGAACUGCAUUUGAAACUGUUUUUCUUGAGUACCGGAGAGGUCAUCGGAAUUCCUUGUGUAGCGGUGAAGUGCGUAGAUAUAAGGAAGAACACCAGUGGCGAAGGCGGAUGACUGGACGGCAACUGACGGUGAGGCGCGAAAGCGUGGGGAGCAAACAGGAUUAGAUACCCCCGUA